This 253-nucleotide ribosomal RNA is filed under the name uncultured bacterium. Its description in RNAcentral is "partial 16S ribosomal RNA". It matches the Rfam family "Bacterial small subunit ribosomal RNA", at positions 524 to 776 of the family's 1533-position model. The record is from RNAcentral.
UACAGAGGGGGCAAGCGUUAUUCGGAAUUAUUGGGCGUAAAGGGCGCGUAGGCGGCUUUGCAAGUGACGGGUGAAAGCCCUCGGCUUAACCGAGGAACUGCCUGUCAGACUGUAAGGCUUGAGACCGGGAGAGGUGAGUGGAAUUCCCAGUGUAGCGGUGAAAUGCGUAGAUAUUGGGAAGAACACCGGUGGCGAAGGCGGCUAUCUGGCCCGUAAUUGACGCUGAGGCGCGAAAGCGUGGGGAGCAAACAGG